UCCCAGUUGUCUGAAAGCACCACAAAUCCAGAGAAUGCCAGACUUUAAUGACAAAGUUUGAUGAUUCAAUUUGCCGACAAGAAGGACCACCGCACCACCUUCCUGUUCAAGUUAGCGCAGCACAACAAGGCAUUUCCGCAGCUGGCCCAUGGCACCUCAUCACUGAAGGAGGAGAACAGGUAGAAGAAGGCCCAGGGCUGGAUGAUGAUGUAUGACACUGCAGCAUACGCAAACAAAGCAAAUGUAAAUUGGUAACCUUCAAAGAGAGUGCAGAAGUGUCUCCAGCAGGUGAUGCUGCCCUGCAAGGUGUACUGUCCCAUGGCUGUCCCCAGGAG
This is a long non-coding RNA of Coregonus clupeaformis (lake whitefish), 335 nucleotides long. RefSeq lists it as uncharacterized. The transcript has 3 exons. The record is from RefSeq and is a predicted model, not a curated record. Lineage: Eukaryota; Metazoa; Chordata; Actinopteri; Salmoniformes; Salmonidae.